Molecule: ribosomal RNA, 341 nt
Filed under: uncultured Chloroflexota bacterium
Lineage: Bacteria; Bacillati; Chloroflexota
Description: bacterial SSU rRNA
Rfam family: Bacterial small subunit ribosomal RNA
Source: RNAcentral
AACGAACGCUAGCGGCGUGCCUAACACAUGCAAGUCGUACGAGAAAUCCCGGGCAACUGGGAGAGUAAAGUGGCGCACGGGUGAGUAACGCGUGGGUAAUCUACCUUGGAGUUGGGAAUAACACCUCGAAAGGGGUGCUAAUACCAAAUGUUGUCCCUGGAGUUUCGGCCCUGGGGAUGAAAGAUGGCUGAGGCUUGCAAGCUAUUGCUCCAAGAUGAGCCCGCGUACCAUUAGCUUGUUGGUGGGGUAAUGGCCCACCAAGGCUAUGAUGGUUAGCUGGUCUGAGAGGAUGGCCAGCCACACUGGAACUGAGAUACGGUCCAGACUCCUACGGGAGGCAG